RNAcentral lists this ribosomal RNA (455 nucleotides) under Enterococcus faecalis. RNAcentral's name for it is "bacterial SSU rRNA". It matches the Rfam family "Bacterial small subunit ribosomal RNA", at positions 28 to 461 of the family's 1533-position model. The record is from RNAcentral. Lineage: Bacteria; Bacillati; Bacillota; Bacilli; Lactobacillales; Enterococcaceae.
GACGAACGCUGGCGGCGUGCCUAAUACAUGCAAGUCGAACGCUUCUUUCCUCCCGAGUGCUUGCACUCAAUUGGAAAGAGGAGUGGCGGACGGGUGAGUAACACGUGGGUAACCUACCCAUCAGAGGGGGAUAACACUUGGAAACAGGUGCUAAUACCGCAUAACAGUUUAUGCCGCAUGGCAUAAGAGUGAAAGGCGCUUUCGGGUGUCGCUGAUGGAUGGACCCGCGGUGCAUUAGCUAGUUGGUGAGGUAACGGCUCACCAAGGCCACGAUGCAUAGCCGACCUGAGAGGGUGAUCGGCCACACUGGGACUGAGACACGGCCCAGACUCCUACGGGAGGCAGCAGUAGGGAAUCUUCGGCAAUGGACGAAAGUCUGACCGAGCAACGCCGCGUGAGUGAAGAAGGUUUUCGGAUCGUAAAACUCUGUUGUUAGGGAAGAACAAGGACGUUAG